AUGGGCCCCUCGCUGUCGCCUCGACGGCUGGGCCCCCUCCGCAACCGCCGGCCACCAGCAGCAGCCCCAGAGCCAAUGGUGACUUCCAGGCUGCGGCAUUGCUCAACACCGGCGGCCUCGACGCCUAGCCCCAGCAAGCAUCUCUCUCUCACACACACACACACCCGUUCUUCUUCUAUGCUGUGCCAGCACGUACCACGGUGGCCAUCCAUUGCCCAGGCCUGUCCAUGCAUUGAAGAUUUGUGUGUAUGUGACUAUAAGGUGCUUGAUGAAAACCCAAGCAGGGUAGGAAAAGAUUUAUUUCUGUUUAUGCUCUUUUGUGUAAUCAAUAUUUCUUUUUCUUCUGCUGGGUGGUUGGGAGUUUGUUUUGGGAUGUUUCAUUGA
This 384-nucleotide ribosomal RNA is filed under the name Triticum aestivum (bread wheat). RNAcentral describes it as "partial small subunit ribosomal RNA". Lineage: Eukaryota; Viridiplantae; Streptophyta; Magnoliopsida; Poales; Poaceae. The record is from RNAcentral.